CGGAAGCGAUACCCGGGAAACACCUCCGCAGAGACUCUGGAGGUUGGUAGAGGCUGGAGAGGGGCUGCACAAACGCCGAAUUGAAGAAAGAGAAAAGUAUCAGCUUUGCUGUCCUUCUGCUUAUCUGGUUGUGAGUGAAAAUCCAGAGGAAGAUAGAUGCCAGCUAAGGUUUUGGCAAUGCAAUCCCAUGUAAGUAGGUAAUUCUUUGCACCUCUGUUGCCAUCAGAUGGGAA
Molecule: long non-coding RNA, 233 nt
Filed under: Dasypus novemcinctus (nine-banded armadillo)
Lineage: Eukaryota; Metazoa; Chordata; Mammalia; Cingulata; Dasypodidae
Description: lncRNA (ENSDNOG00000052399.1)
Source: RNAcentral